UAUGGGUUGUGAAGUAGUAGUAUUUUUCAUUAAUGAGUUUGCAAAGACUUCGUUGGAAGUAAAAGUUAUUCGCAGCAAAAUAGAUUCAAGUGUUUGAUGGAUGAAGAGUAUGAGGAACGUGUGUAUUCAUUCCUAAGAGGAGGAGAGGGAUGGGAUCUAACGCAGGAUUUGGAUAAAGAAGGUUUGUCUGUCACAUGAGAAAUUGGAAAUAAGGAAUCCCAAAUUUCACAAGCUUUAUAUAGAUCGAUCUAUCUUCACAGGGGUCAUUCAAAUUUAUGUGAUCUCACUACAUCUGAGAAUUCAUUAGCCCAUUGCAUCCAGUUUCUCAUCAAAGCAAUAGCAAUAACUUGUACCUCAUUCAAUUCUUUCUACACUUGCUCUCAAGGAUGCUGGAAUUCAAUCUCAAUAGUGUAACGUUUGUAUCCGGGAAAUGCGAGUCAAUUGAUAGUUUCAGUUCAAGCUUGUCCCACAGGUAAGUAUUUCGCUUGCCCGGCAGACAAAGACUAUGUGAAAACCAUGUUUAAAGUAAGUCAUCAUUGACCAAGGGGAUGUUGCAAGGUUUAAUGAAGAAAAUAGCAUUGAACGAUUGGAAUCACAAGGAAUGGAUCGUCCAAUUUUGGGCACCCGGAGCCAAACAAGACGAACAUGGACCCCUCUUCUACUACACGAGAGAAGAAUUUCCAGCAAGAAACUUUGCAAUGCUUUGUUGUAAACGUGGAUACAUGGCUUUACCCAUACUUAACAAUGAAGGCACAGGCAAUGGGGAGCUUGUGGGCGUGCUAGAGUUCCUUGGAUUUGAUUCUUCUGACCAUCGGAGAACUACUGAAGGUACUAUCUCUUGCCACUUUUGACUUGUCACUAUAUAAAAAUUGUUGUGAAAACAAUUUCCACUUCCACGCAGGAACCAAAACUGGAUUCUUAGCAAAUGAACAUUUCAAUGUAUGCUUUAACACAAUUUUAGAUGUUACUAACAUGUUUGUGUGUCUUUUGAUUUAAUUUGUGCUAUUUGAAUCAGAUUGUCACUUGUAGGGAAAAAGCUUCGACACAAAUCAGCAAUGCCCUUAAAAUGAUCAAGGACAUUCCCUCCCCAACUCCGUAUGACACCUAAUGAUGAAUGUGUUAGUACAAGUAAUACCAAUAGGAGCUGGCAUUGUCUUCUAACACAUUUAGUUCACUGGAUACAUGUUCAAGCCAGAAAAGGGAUGGAUGGUUGGGAUGGUAUUGUCAUCACAAAACAAAUCAUGUUUUUUUCCAAAUUUAAGUGAGUUACACACUAUGACAUGAGAGAUGGACGUGAUGUUUGUUUUGCCAUUUGUUUGCAAAGUUCGGACACUGGUGACCUUGUUUGUAUUAUCGAUUUACCAAGGUCCCAUGACAGAUAAGUAUGUUGGGUCCUUCUUGAGCCUUCUAUUGCCUAUGAUAAAGCAUGAAUUAAAAUCAUUUAAGCUAGCAUGUGGGAAGGAACUAGGAGAAGAACUGGUGGUUGAAGUUAUUGAAUUUUCUGAUGCAAAUACACUUGAUUACUCUGAAUCAGAGCCUGCAUGUGGGUAUCCUGUCAUAUUCAAAAGUGUGAAGUACAAUCAAAAGGAGAAUCAUCACACUGAAAACAAACAACAAAACGAGUACCAUCACACAGAAGAAGAAGAAGAACGCGCAGAAGAAUGCAUCGUUGCUGCUUCAGAUUCCAAUACACUACAAAGAGGGAAGAUAAAAAGAUCGCUCAAUGUUAGUGCGGAGGCUUCAAAUCACAUUAUGGGAAGAAGCAAAAAGAUGUUGCCAUAGAGAUCGGUGUUUCAGUAUCAACAAUAAAGCGUGCAAACAGGAAACGCGGCAUUCAAAGGUGGCCAUCCCUUUCCGAAGAAGCAAGUGCUGCGAAUUCAGAGCAAGACUUGUUGCCAUCAACCAGCAACGUUCAUCCAUUGGAGAAUAUGACACAAAUAAUCACAGGAAGCGCAGACAAGGUGAUUGUAAAGGUGAAGUAUAACGAGGAAUUCAUAAGAUUUGAGUUGUCUGAACCAUUAUUAUUGGCAAAGCUUACUGAAGAAGUGGCGAUGCGUCUAAAUCUGGAGAUGGCCAGUUUCAAGUUGAAAUACGUGGAUGAAGAGGGUGAUGCGAUCUUAUUAACCAGAGAUUCUGAUUUGGAUCUUUGUCCAAAGACUCGAACAGCAACAGGUCAGACACUCAUCCGGCUGUUGGUUCGACGAUACUUUUUUCCUUCAUUUCAUUUCUAAAUAAAUGCAUUUGCAAUUGCUUGAGUUUACUGCCCCUGAUGGAUUGGUGGCUCUGCAAAGACUUUGUCUUCAUCUUGGAUUUUGGUGUAAAAGCUUCUUUAUUUUGUAAUAGGAAUCAAAUUUUACUUUUGUUCAUUUAUAAAUAUCAUUUUAAUUAA
Molecule: long non-coding RNA, 2389 nt
Organism: Salvia splendens (bonfire salvia)
Lineage: Eukaryota; Viridiplantae; Streptophyta; Magnoliopsida; Lamiales; Lamiaceae
Exons: 2
Source: RefSeq, a predicted model, not a curated record